Molecule: non-coding RNA, 73 nt
Organism: Hanseniaspora uvarum DSM 2768
Lineage: Eukaryota; Fungi; Ascomycota; Saccharomycetes; Saccharomycodales; Saccharomycodaceae
Source: Rfam
ACCUUGUUAGCUCAGUUGGUAGAGCGUUUGACUCUUAAUCAAAAUGUCAAGGGUUCGAGCCCCUUAUGAGGUA